RNAcentral lists this ribosomal RNA (271 nucleotides) under uncultured bacterium. Its description in RNAcentral is "partial 16S ribosomal RNA". It matches the Rfam family "Bacterial small subunit ribosomal RNA", at positions 82 to 354 of the family's 1533-position model. The record is from RNAcentral.
UUCCCGCCGGCGACCGGCGCACGGGUGAGUAACACGUAUGCAACCUGCCCUCUUCAGGGGGACAACCUUCCGAAAGGGAGGCUAAUCCCGCGUAUAUCGGUUUCGGGCAUCCGAGAUCGAGGAAAGAUUCAUCGGAAGAGGAUGGGCAUGCGGCGCAUUAGCUAGACGGCGGGGUAACGGCCCACCGUGGCGACGAUGCGUAGGGGUUCUGAGAGGAAGGUCCCCCACAUUGGAACUGAGACACGGUCCAAACUCCUACGGAAGGCAGCAG